UGCCCCCUCGUUCUCUCUUCUUACUCAAACUCUCCCCCUCCCUCGUUUUUCGCACACUGAACUCUGCGCUCACAGUCAGGUUCCGAGCUGCCCGGAGAAAAGAGAGCGUGACAAUAGAAUAGUUUGCCUGUCAUGCUGCUAUUUGGAAACUGUCUGGAGUUUGAUAUAGGAGUACGACGCGGCUACGGACCUACUAGUUUUUUGUUAUUUUAAUGCUACCACAGAGAUUUCAGGAGGAGCGUGCUUCACCUCAAGCGAACACAGCCAAGGUCGGAGGGGCGGGAUGAAAACAGAAGAGACCCAAUCAUGUCUUCAGCAGGCUCCCUCCUCCACGCCAUUUGGUUCAGAGCACGGGGGCGGCGGAGGGGGUGAGGUGUGUGCGGGGUGUGAAUCGCCAAUCGCGGACCGUUUCCUGCUGCGUGUCAACGAGCGCUCGUGGCACGAAACCUGCGUUAAGUGUGCGGUGUGUCUGAGCGCACUCAGUGGGACCUGCUACUGCAGAGAUCGUCUGCUCUACUGCAAGCACGACUACGAGAAGCUGUUUGUCAGGAAGUGCAGUGCGUGCCUGCAGGUGAUUGGUCGCUCAGAGCUGAUCAUGCGGGUGCUCGGCCAGGUGUACCACCUGGGCUGUUUCAGCUGCUGUGAGUGUGAACGUCGGCUGCAGCGCGGAGACGAGUUCGUCCUGAAGGAAGGGCAGCUGCUCUGCCGGGGAGACUACGAGAAGGAACGGGAGAUGCUGGCAGCCAUCAGCCCCACCCCCACCGAGUCAGUGAAGAGUGAGGAUGAGGAUGGUGGGGGCGGUUCUGUAGGGGGGAAGGGCGGCGAAGGGAAGGACCACAAGCGGUCCAAGCGGCCACGUACCAUCCUGACCACACAGCAGCGCAGAGCUUUCAAGGCCUCCUUCGAGGUGUCCUCCAAGCCCUGCAGGAAGGUGAGAGAAACUCUGGCAGCUGAGACUGGUCUGACGGUUCGCGUCGUACAGGUGUGGUUCCAAAACCAGAGAGCAAAGAUGAAGAAGAUUGCUCGCAGGCAGCAGCAACAGCAACAGCAACAGGAGCAGGAGCAGCUGGGAGGGUCCAGGAGAGGGCCAAGCAGAGGGGGUCGUCAGAGCAACGAUGACAGCGAGGAUGGCUCUAGUGGUCACGGAUUGGAAAGUCUGUUGGCGUACCCCUCAUUGCCACGACAGCAGCUGUUGGCUCUGGACCCCAACAUUUACGGAGGAGAGCCGUUCCGUCAUGGCCUCACACCCCCUCAGCUGGGCUCAGAUCAGCUUCACUAUGAUUCAGAGACUGUGUUUCAUGAUCUGGACAGCGAUGGGAGCCUCAGUCAUCUCGGGGACUGUCUCUUGGCAACGUCAGACGGUGGGGUACUGACAGGGCGGGUGGGAAACCCCAUUGACCGUCUCUACUCCAUGCAGAACUCUUACUUCACCUCCUGACCCCUCAUCUUUGACCUCGGACCCGCGACUCAUUCAACUCUAAAGAAGCAGUUAAUGUAUGUUCAACUGGGCCUACGCCAUUAAACUUCAUCUCAACAGACCAGCUGUAGCUGACAGGCAGGUCCUAUGAUGUGUUCUGUCUAAUACAUUGUCUUUAUUUAACGUUUUUCACUGAGGAAUUUACACUGAGGAA
Long non-coding RNA from Esox lucius (northern pike), 1631 nucleotides. RefSeq annotates it as LIM homeobox transcription factor 1, alpha-like. The transcript has 9 exons. Lineage: Eukaryota; Metazoa; Chordata; Actinopteri; Esociformes; Esocidae. The record is from RefSeq and is a predicted model, not a curated record.